Daphnia carinata is the source of this 1170-nucleotide long non-coding RNA. RefSeq lists it as uncharacterized. NCBI's taxonomy places the organism in Eukaryota, Metazoa, Arthropoda, Branchiopoda, Diplostraca, Daphniidae. The record is from RefSeq and is a predicted model, not a curated record. The transcript has 6 exons.
UCCAUCUUCAUCACUAACAAAAGAAAAAGGGAGAUUUGCAUUUUAAGGUUAGGUUAGAAACAAAACAACAAUAAAACCAUUUGCUGAUACUACCUUUCAUACAUUGUUAUCACAAAUAGGAGAGCAGUACAUAUUGGCAGCCAUGUAGCUUUGUAGUUGCUUCAAAGAACUUAUUUCCUUGUCUGGUGAUUGCUUGGACUUUGAAUACCUCCUAUCCUUAUAGCCAUGGAACACUUGACAUUGACUCCAUUUACACUUGCAGAAACAAAAACAAACAUAUUUGCAACAAAAGACAUCUAGCGGAGGAAUUGCCUGUUACUGAGUACUCUACUGAACUGUCAAUUUGUUCGUUGUCAGGGGGCUAUUUCGAGUUUGGUUGCCAUAAUAAUGGUUGCCUCGCGUAUUGGAAAUGUUUUGCCGAAUCCCAGGAUAUCGCCAAGUGUGCCAUAUUGUCAUAAUCGUUUCUCUCCUUAGGAUGGUUACCAAUAUCCAGUUGAUUUCUAAAAGGUUUUGUUUGAUGUGCUAUAUUAAAAAAACUGAUGUUGGCACCAGCUUGAUGGAAAAGGUCAUUUCCAACGUGGGCACAGGGAAACUUGGAUUUAUUUGGUGAUAGUCAGAUGGUUUUCCUGAAGUUGCAGUUUGAAAUAACCUUUCAAAGCCUAAACUCAUCUUCGUAGAAAGGGACUUGUGAAAAGUAACACUGGCGCUGUAAAUUUUCUUCGUUUGGGGCAAGACGUUGAAUAAACUGUGAUUAUUGGAUGGAAGACAUGGAAUUUCUACACUGUAUUCAUAUUUCCCAAACGGUAUUUAAAAUUCAAAAAUUGAAGUGCAUAUCUGGGCUCCCUUCCUUUCCGUAGCCCCGUUUCCCCUUGACUCAUAAUAAGCCCGUAGGGGGUCACGCCCCUACUGUACGGUAUAUAUAAAAAUAACAUAUACCGAGGUUUGGAGGGCUCUGGCCGGAAAGGGGACGUGGGGGUCCACUUAGUCCGAUGAUGUGUUCACGGAGGGCGACGUGGCUACCGACAAAUCCGAACUAAAGGUUAAUCGCUCCAGUAAAAAUGUUCCAAAUCUUCGGCUCUUCUUCCGGCUUCUCUUAGCCAAUCACCGGGUAAUCUCCCCGGUGGGUCAACAAGGCAGUGUCUCCCCCUGCCUGGGUUGACGGCAACUUUU